This 301-nucleotide ribosomal RNA is filed under the name uncultured bacterium. Its description in RNAcentral is "partial 16S ribosomal RNA". It matches the Rfam family "Bacterial small subunit ribosomal RNA", at positions 509 to 807 of the family's 1533-position model. The record is from RNAcentral.
CAGUAGCCACGGUAAUACGAAGGGUGCAAGCGUUACUCGGAAUUACUGGGCGUAAAGCGUGUGUAGGUGGUUGUUUAAGUCUGUCGUGAAAGCCCUGGGCUCAACCUGGGAAUUGCGAUGGAUACUAGGCGACUAGAGUGCGGUAGAGGAUAGUGGAAUUUCCGGUGUAGCAGUGAAAUGCGUAGAGAUCGGAAGGAACAUCUGUGGCGAAGGCGACUAUCUGGGCCAACACUGACACUGAGACACGAAAGCGUGGGGAGCAAACAGGAUUAGAUACCCCCGUAGUCCCUGUCUCUUAUAC